This 468-nucleotide ribosomal RNA is filed under the name uncultured bacterium. RNAcentral describes it as "partial 16S ribosomal RNA". It matches the Rfam family "Bacterial small subunit ribosomal RNA", at positions 28 to 507 of the family's 1533-position model. The record is from RNAcentral.
GACGAACGCUGGCGGCGUGCUUAACACAUGCAAGUCGAACGGAAAGGCCCUGCUUUUGUGGGGUGCUCGAGUGGCGAACGGGUGAGUAACACGUGAGUAACCUGCCCUUGACUUUGGGAUAACUUCAGGAAACUGGGGCUAAUACCGGAUAGGAGCUCCUGCUGCAUGGUGGGGGUUGGAAAGUUUCGGCGGUUGGGGAUGGACUCGCGGCUUAUCAGCUUGUUGGUGGGGUAGUGGCUUACCAAGGCUUUGACGGGUAGCCGGCCUGAGAGGGUGACCGGCCACAUUGGGACUGAGAUACGGCCCAGACUCCCACGGGAGGCAGCAGCGGGGAAUAUUGCACAAUGGGCGGAAGCCUGAUGCAGCAACGCCGCGUGCGGGAUGACGGCCUUCGGGUUGUAAACCGCUUUCGCCUGUGACGAAGCGUGAGUGACGGUAAUGGGUAAAGAAGCACCGGCUAACUACGUG